GAUAGAUAGAUAAAUAGAUAGAUGAUGGAUAGAGAAUAGAUGAUAGACAAUAGCUAACUAGCUAGCUUGCUAGAUAGAGAUGGGGAAUCGACUCACACGACUGUGGAGGUGAGAGGGCGACCCAGGGCAGCCACUGGUAUAGCCCCAGCCUGAGUCUGAAGGUCUGAGAACUGGGAGGGUCAACAGUGAAAAUCCUAGUCCAAGUCCAGAGGGAGGAGACGAGUGGCGGCCCAGCUCAAAGACGGGCGGGAGACAGCACGCUCCCCUGACCCAGCCUCUUCCUCCUAUCCAGGCCUUCAGCAGACUCACUGGAGGCUCCCACCCACACUGGGAGGCCCACCUGUGUCCUCGGUCCACUGAUUCACAGGCUGAUCUCAUGGGAAACUCCUUCACCGCCACACCCAGAAUAACAUUCGAUCAAACCCGGGUGACGCACAGAGCCGGCCAUCGCACGAGCUGCCCUCGUGCAGAUUCAGCACAAAGCACACGGGGUACACGCGCCCCGAGCACGGGAGGCACGGAUGCAAAAUGCUGGAGCAGUGAUGUGUGUGGGUGUCUAAGCAGGAGCCAGAAGGUGCUUCUGAAGGAGAGAAAACGCGGCAGGAGCAGAGGCCGGAAGCCUGGCUUCUCCCUGAACGUCGGCGCUCAGCUGGCGCUGGAGACGGUCUUGAGUCGGGCAGGCUUGUCUCAGUUCAGCCCCGUCUUCGUCCUUCACCUGCGUUCAAUCGCCUUGUCUCCAUCCUGUUCUUCCCAGCUCAUUCUUUUGUCUCUUGUUUUGAAAAUAUUUCCUAAUUAUAACUCCGUAAGAUUAUUUUUCAAACCAACUGCAAAACCACCUGUGUCAUAUUCAGUUCUUUGCACGUCACGCAGGUCCAGCUCGAGGGGUUGGCAGGGCCGUGCGGCCCCUGAAGGCCUUUUCCUGCCUCUUCCAGCUUCUGGUGGGGACUGCAGGCCCUGGGUGUCCCUUGGCUGGGGGAGCCUCCCGCCAGCCUCUGCCUUCAUUUUCCCUGGGGCCCCCCUCUGUGUGUGUGGGGUGUGUGUGUGUGGGUGUGGGGUGUGGGUGUGGGUGGGUGUGAGUGGGUGUGGAUGUGAGUGGGUGUGGAUGUGAGUGGGUGUUUGGGGAGUGUAGGGGUGUGUGUGUGUGUGGGUGUGGGUGUGGCUGUGUGUGGGUGUCUGUGGGUGUGUGUGGGUGUGGGUGUGGGUGGGUGUGGGUGUGAGUGGGUGUGUGGGGGGUGUGGGGGUGUGUGUGGAUGUGUGUGUGUGUGUUUAGGAGUGUAUGUGUAGGUGUGUGUGGGUGUGUGUGGGUGUGGGGAUGUGUGUGUGUGUGUGGCUGUGUGUGGGUGUGGGUGGGUGUAAGUGUGGGGGUGUGCAUAUGUAUGUGUGUGAAUGGGUGUAUGUCGGGGUGUGGAUGUGUGUGGCUGUGUAUGUUGUGUGUGGGUGUGUGUGUGUAUGUGUGUGAAUGGGUGUGUGGGUGUGGGGGGUGUGUAUGAGUGUGAAUGUGUGUGUGUGUGUGUGUGGGUGGGUGUGGGUGUGAAUGGGUGUGUGGGUGUGGGGGGUGUGUAUGAGUGUGAAUGUGUGUGUGUGGGUGGGUCUGUGUGUGGGUGUGGGUGGGUGUGAGUGGGUGUGGGUGUGAGUGGGUGUGGGUGGUGAGUGUGUGUGUGUUUGGGAGUGUAUGUGUAGGUGUGUGUAGGUAUGUGUGGGUGUGUGUGGUGUGUGUCAGUGUGGGGAUGUGUGUGUGUGUGUGUGUGUGUGGCUGUGUGUGGGUGUGGGUGGGAGUGUGGGAGUGUGUGUAUGUAUGAGUGUGAAUGGGUGUGUGUGGGUGUGUGUGGCUGUGUAUGGGUGUGUGUGGUGUGUGUGUAUGUUUGUGAAUGGGUGUGUGUG
Long non-coding RNA from Capra hircus (goat), 1881 nucleotides. NCBI's taxonomy places the organism in Eukaryota, Metazoa, Chordata, Mammalia, Artiodactyla, Bovidae. The record is from Ensembl.